This is a non-coding RNA of Anas platyrhynchos (mallard), 1080 nucleotides long. The record is from RefSeq and is a predicted model, not a curated record. Lineage: Eukaryota; Metazoa; Chordata; Aves; Anseriformes; Anatidae.
AGCCGAUGAUGGCGAGCUCCACCAUGAGCCACAGGAUGAUCCGAGGAACCUGGGGGGGCAGAAACGUCAGCAUCCACAACGAGAGGGAGCAGCAUCCACAACGAGAGGGAGCAGCUCGCUUCUCCCUGUCAUUUCCACGAGGAAUGUGUGAUUAUGGGGCCUGCCCACUCGGGACCUGUUGCUUUUUCCCUGCUUUGCUGCUUCCACACCGAAUGAAGGUGCGGGAAACACGCUGCCAAGUGGCACUCGGGGCUGGUGUGGGGCAGAAAUGCAGGUUACCUGUGGCAAUCCCCAGGGGAGGCUCCCGGGUCACUUAUAUAACCCCAAUUACUCGUCCUAACAGAUACGGCGCGUUGCGAGAGUGAAACCAGCCGGCUCUGCCUGCCGAGGAGCCGGGGGCCCUCUCGCACGGUCACGCCGCAGUCUCGAGGGUUUGGGGACGCCGCCGACUUCCCCAGCCGCAGCGGAGGGCGACGCACGGCCCCGCCGGCUCCUGCAGCAGGGGGAUGUACCGCGAGAAAAGGGCUCUGUCUGCGAUUCACUGCCAAGUGCCAGGACACUCACCACACCUCCCUCCUCCUGCAAACGGGGAAAACACCGACGGGACCUCAAGUGUCCCUGAGCCACCCACCCAGGCUCUCCUUCACCAGGGCAGCUCUCGGGCUGCGCUGAAAGCCUCUCUCUAAACCUGCCUCCUUCCAACCAUGCAGAAGAAAUCCACUUAAUCCCCCAGCUCCCCGAACAAUAAAGAGACGAGACUGAAAACGUAUUUUAGCAACCCAAAGACCUUCUCCCACGGAGGAUUUGGCACCGUGAAUGGUGGCAGGGGGAGGUGGAAGAGCCCCCGGGCAGUGGAGCACCCACCUUUUGGUACUGGCGGUGGCAGACCUCGGCGAGGUGCAGCCCCGUCACCACGCCGAGGCGCGCGGCCAGCCGCUGCAGGAGCAGCCCCAUCACCGUCGCCAUCAGCAGCACCCACAGCAGCUGGGGGGAGAGGAGGGCAGCAGUGGGUGCCUGGGCGCAGCGGGGUCCCUGCAUCCCACACCCGCCUGCUGAAUCAGAAUGGUUUUAUUUAAAAAA